CAAACCGCAGGCGGUGUCUCACAACUACUAGUCUUUUGAACGAGAGAAGACUGAUUGGUAACCUUAGUUUCCUCACCUUCCGCUCCAUGGCCUCUUCUUCACAGAACUCUAAGAAUGUCACAAGCAGCGCAAAGUUCAGCUUCUGCAUCUUCUUCUACUAGUCCGGUUGAUAGGGACACUGGAGCUACUGCUUCUCCUUCUUUUUCUUCUUCGAUCAAUAGGGAUUCGUCUGGCGCUGCUUCAUCGUCUUAUUCUCAUUUUCGCGAAGAAGGAGAUUACCAAUUUCAAGAGUUAGUUUCGGAGCAGCAGCAACACAUUGGUUUAUUUCGAGGAAAUUUGUUUGCCUUCGGUGAUGUUUCAGCGAUUAGUGAUGAUACUUGGUCCUGUGUCAUUGUCGUCCUCACCUUUUGGUUAUUCGUAUCAAUGGCUCUGAUUCUGGGAGUCUAUGGUUCUGUGAAUAUAGUCAUAGGACCCAAUUCCUCAGUUCUUAUUCAACCGAGUCCCUUAUUUGUGCAGUCUGUAAAGGUGGAAGAAGUGGAUGGUAAUAAUCCUGGGCUCAUGCUGUAUGGAUUUUAUAAACCUCCAUCACUUGAUGUCGUGAAGUCCUGGAUCAAAUCUGUUAAUGUAUCUGUUCUAGCUGAUUCUCACAAGGAGUUGAUAUAUUUCCUGAAUGAGGGAUCUCAAAUAAAUAUUUCAUACCAUGUGAACUCCCCGAGCUCAUCGCUUUUUCUUGUAAUUGCCCAAGGUACUUUUAUAACUUUUCUAGGUAUUUUCUUCGCGAAAUUAUCUCUUUAGCUUCCCUCCCUUUUCCUCUUCUCCUUAAAGUAGUCAUUUUUACAUACUCCUACGAAUGAAUGCAAAAGCAUCAAGUCGAUAGAAGUUGAAUGCUCGCUUCUUUCUUCAUGUAUAAGCUUUGGAUACAAUACACUCUUAAGGAAUGCAUGUGAAAUCAUCAUAAUCAUGGAAAUUGAAUGCCUUUAAUUUUUCCCCCUUUUUCUGUACGCAUUUUGGAUAUAUUUUUAUAUGCCAUGAGACAUCUAAGAGUACAGUAGCCAUCAUAAUAAAUAUUUAUUUUUGAGCAAUUAAUUAAUGAUAUUACACCGUGAAAGCCAGAAAUUCUCAUAAAAUUCUGAAGCAUUAAGGCUAUACUUCUUAUAGGUUCCCAUUGCUUUUAUUGAUGACUAUCUCUCACAAAUAUGUUGUAGACAAUGAGUCACACGAGUUAAGUGAAGCUAACAAUGGAAGGCAAUUGCCUAUUUUUCUGUUGAUGCCCCUUUAAUCACUUAUCUGUGUUUCACAAUGCUGACAGCUUCUUAAUCAUUGCCCACACCUGAGAAAAACAUAGUUGAUUUAUCUAUAUUUUCUUCCACAUAAUCAUGAUUCAUGAACAUUGAUGUUGAUUUUUGGUGACAAGGAAUUUUAUAUUAAGAUAUCAAGAAAUUGUUACUUUUCCUCUAUUUGUUGACUAUGAGACAAAGCAUGAACAUUGGAAUGUGAGCAAUUACUUUUAUAGAAGUUGGACCAGGGAGAAUAAAAAAUUUUCCUUAAUCUAUACUCUAUGGCCACAAUAGUUAUGCUUGCAUUCAAUCAACUCACUAUCAUAGUUGUCAAAGGCGUGCCUGAGGCACAAGGUGCGUCGGGCUCAAAGGGGAUCGCCUCAGGCACCAAAAGAUGGGCAACCUCACCAAGGCGCAAUAAGGUGCAAGGCGUGCCUGGUUGAUGUGGGGGAAGAAAAAGGCCAAAAAGGGAAAAAAAAGGAGG
This 1761-nucleotide unclassified non-coding RNA is filed under the name Hevea brasiliensis (rubber tree). Lineage: Eukaryota; Viridiplantae; Streptophyta; Magnoliopsida; Malpighiales; Euphorbiaceae. The record is from RNAcentral.